RNAcentral lists this unclassified non-coding RNA (251 nucleotides) under uncultured fungus. RNAcentral describes it as "partial contains 5.8S ribosomal RNA, internal transcribed spacer 2, and large subunit ribosomal RNA". The stretch from base 1 to 52 matches the Rfam family "5.8S ribosomal RNA", at positions 103 to 154 of the family's 154-position model. Lineage: Eukaryota; Fungi. The record is from RNAcentral.
AACGCACCUUGCGCCUCUUGGUAUUCCGAGAGGCAUGCCUGUUUGAGUGUCAUGAAACAUCAAUCCCUCGGGUUUCCGACCCGAGGGAGCGGACGUGGGCGCUGCCUCCCUGGCUCGCCUCAAAGGACUCAGUGGGAAGAUCCCAAAGCCUGACGUGAUAAGUUUCGUCUCGGCCGAGGGCGACGCCUGCUCCCAACCACCACUAUCUCUUGACUGACCUCAAAUCAGGUAGGGCUACCCGCUGAACUUAA